GACGAACGCUGGCGGCGUGCUUAACACAUGCAAGUCGAACGAUGAAGCUUGGAGCUUGCACCGGGGGGAUGAGCGGCGAACGGGUGAGUAAUACGUGGGUAACCUGCCCUUGAGACUGGGAUAAGUUCGGGAAACUGGGUCUAAUACCGGAUAAGAUAUGUAACCGCAUGGUGGAGUGUGGAAAGGGGUUUAUUGGGUUUGGAUGGGCUGACGGCGUAUCGGCUUGUUGGUGGGGUAAUGGAACCCCAACUCAACGACGGGUAGCCGGCCCGAGAGGGUGGCCGCCCACCCUGCUCCUGCGACACGCCCCAGUCUCCUACGUGAGGCAGCGGUCGGGAAUUUUGCGCAAUGGGCGGACGCCUGUUGCGGCGACGCCGCGUUAGUGAUGCCGGCCUUCUGGUUGUAAACCUCUUUCAGCACGGAUGAACCGAAAGUGACGGUACCUGCAGAAAAAGCGCCGGCUAACUACGUG
This 472-nucleotide ribosomal RNA is filed under the name uncultured bacterium. RNAcentral's name for it is "partial 16S ribosomal RNA". It matches the Rfam family "Bacterial small subunit ribosomal RNA", at positions 28 to 507 of the family's 1533-position model. The record is from RNAcentral.